Molecule: ribosomal RNA, 490 nt
Filed under: uncultured bacterium
Lineage: Bacteria
Description: partial 16S ribosomal RNA
Rfam family: Bacterial small subunit ribosomal RNA
Source: RNAcentral
GAUGAACGCUAGCUACAGGCUUAACACAUGCAAGUCGAGGGGCAGCGGGAUUGAAGCUUGCUUCAAUUGCCGGCGGCCGGCGCACGGGUGAGUAACGCGUAUCCAACCUUCCGUACACUCAGGGAUAGCCUUUCGAAAGAAAGAUUAAUACCUGAUGGUAUGAUGAGAUUGCAUGAUAUCAUCAUUAAAGAUUUAUCGGUGUACGAUGGGGAUGCGUUCCAUUAGGUAGUAGGCGGGGUAACGGCCCACCUAGCCAACGAUGGAUAGGGGUUCUGAGAGGAAGGUCCCCCACAUUGGAACUGAGACACGGUCCAAACUCCUACGGGAGGCAGCAGUGAGGAAUAUUGGUCAAUGGACGAGAGUCUGAACCAGCCAAGUAGCGUGAAGGAUGAAGGUCCUACGGAUUGUAAACUUCUUUUAUAAGGGAAUAAACCCUCCCACGUGUGGGAGCUUGUAUGUACCUUAUGAAUAAGCAUCGGCUAACUCCGUG